RNAcentral lists this ribosomal RNA (1110 nucleotides) under uncultured bacterium. RNAcentral describes it as "bacterial SSU rRNA". It matches the Rfam family "Bacterial small subunit ribosomal RNA", at positions 67 to 1170 of the family's 1533-position model. The record is from RNAcentral.
GGGUAACAGGGAGUGCUUGCACUCUGCUGACGACCGGCGCACGGGUGCGUAACGCGUAUGCAACCUACCUUCUACAGGGGGAUAGUCCAGAGAAAUUUGGCAUAAUACCCCAUACGAUCAUUUAUUGGCAUCGAUAGAUGAGGAAAACUCCGGUGGUAGAAGAUGGGCAUGCGUCCUAUUAGUUAGUUGGUAAGGUAACGGCUUACCAAGACAUCGAUAGGUAGGGGUCCUGAGAGGGAGAUCCCCCACACUGGUACUGAGACACGGACCAGACUCCUACGGGAGGCAGCAGUGAGGAAUAUUGGACAAUGGAGGCAACUCUGAUCCAGCCAUGCCGCGUGCAGGAAGACGGCCCUACGGGUUGUAAACUGCUUUUAUACAGGAAGAAACGCCGCUACGUGUAGCGGUUUGACGGUACUGUACGAAUAAGGAUCGGCUAACUCCGUGCCAGCAGCCGCGGUAAUACGGAGGAUCCAAGCGUUAUCCGGAAUCAUUGGGUUUAAAGGGUCCGUAGGCGGUUUUUUAAGUCAGAGGUGAAAUCCUGCAGCUCAACUGUAGCAUUGCCUUUGAUACUGAAAGACUUGAGUUAUUGUGAAGUAGUUAGAAUGUGUAGUGUAGCGGUGAAAUGCAUAGAUAUUACACAGAAUACCGAUUGCGAAGGCAGAUUACUAACAAUAUACUGACGCUGAGGGACGAAAGCGUGGGUAGCGAACAGGAUUAGAUACCCUGGUAGUCCACGCCGUAAACGAUGGAUACUAGCUGUUCGACCAACAUUGGUUGGUUGAGUGGCUAAGCGAAAGUGAUAAGUAUCCCACCUGGGGAGUACGCUCGCAAGAGUGAAACUCAAAGGAAUUGACGGGGGCCCGCACAAGCGGUGGAGCAUGUGGUUUAAUUCGAUGAUACGCGAGGAACCUUACCAGGGCUUAAAUGUAAGUUGCAUAGAUCAGAGAUGGUCUUUUCUUCGGACUACUUACAAGGUGCUGCAUGGUUGUCGUCAGCUCGUGCCGUGAGGUGUCAGGUUAAGUCCUAUAACGAGCGCAACCCCUGUCGUUAGUUGCCAGCAAGUUAAGUUGGGCACUCUAGCGAGACUGCCGGUGCAAACCGCGAGGA